CUUUUGCGUCCGGACUUGGGAGGCGCUGCUUCGGUGGAAGGAACAAUGGCUCUCGGUGGCGUAAUGAAGCUGCUCUCUGAAGAUGUUGAGAUGCAAAGGAAAACAACAACAAAACACGUGAGAGAGUAUUUGCUGGGAUGUUACUUGGUCGAAACCUGACAGUCUUAACACAGCUUCCUGGGGACUGAUAAUAAUGGACCUAUAGAUGUCACUGACUAGCAACCUCAUUUUAAAUGUGGGGUCGCUGUCUGCCCAUGGAAAGAGGCCAGUUUGCUGGAACCUUCCGAAGGUGUAACCCAUUCCUGGCUAAUGCCACGAGAUUUACUUGUAUGAAAAACUGAUGAAGAACAGCUCCUUUUACUGAUACUGAAAGAAAACUUACAAAUCAAGACAAUAUAUUGAUUUUUUUUUUAAUUUUUGUAAGUAGAUAAUAAAGCAGCAUCUAAUCUAAUGUA
Nyctereutes procyonoides (raccoon dog) is the source of this 455-nucleotide long non-coding RNA. RefSeq lists it as uncharacterized. The record is from RefSeq and is a predicted model, not a curated record. Lineage: Eukaryota; Metazoa; Chordata; Mammalia; Carnivora; Canidae. The transcript is spliced from 6 exons.